Molecule: ribosomal RNA, 1537 nt
Filed under: metagenome
Description: bacterial SSU rRNA
Rfam family: Bacterial small subunit ribosomal RNA
Source: RNAcentral
AGAGUUUGAUUCCGGCUCAGAACGAACGCUGGCAGCGUGGAUUAGGCAUGCAAGUCGAACGAGAACCAGUGGUUUCAAGUUUUCGGACGAGAAACCGUUGGGGACAGUGGCGGAAGGGUGAGUAACGCGUGGGCAAUCUGCCCUUAAGUUCGGGACAACGGUUGGAAACGGCCGCUAAUACCGGAUGUGGUUAUCCGUCGCCUGACGGGUGGACUAAAGAUGGGGACCUUUCGGGGCCUGUCGCUUGAGGAGGAGCCCGCGUCCCAUCAGCUUGUUGGUAGGGUAACGGCCUACCAAGGCUUACGGGUAGCUGGUCUGAGAGGAUGAUCAGCCACACUGGGACUGAGACGCUGCCCAGACUCCUACGGGAGGCUGCAGUCGAGGAUCAUUGGCAAUGCGCGAAAGCGUGACCAUGCGACGCUGCGUGGAGGAUGACGGCCUUCGGGUUGUAAACUCCUGUCAUUCGGGAAAAACGAGCAGGCCGUUAAUAUCGGUUCGCAGUGAUGGUACCGAAAGAGGAAGCCACGGCUAACUCUGUGCCAGCAGCCGCGGUAAUACAGAGGUGGCAAGCGUUGUUCGGAUUUACUGGGCGUAAAGCGUGCGUAGGCGGUUACGUAUGUCGGAUGUGAAAGCCCAUGGCCCAACCAUGGAAGUGCAUUCGAAACUGCGGAACUAGAGUGCAGGAGGGGAGAGCGGAAUUCAUGGUGUACCGGUGAAAUGCGUUGAUAUCAUGAAGAACACCGGUGGCGAAGGCGGCUCUCUGGAAUGUUACUGACGCUGAGGCACGAAAGCUGGGGGAGCAAACAGGAUUAGAUACCCUGGUAGUCCCAGCCGUAAACGGUGCGCACUUGGUGUUGGGGGUGUUGACCCCCUCAGUGCCGGAGCUAACGCGCUAAGUGCGCCGCCUGGGAAGUACGGCCGCAAGGCUAAAACUCAAAGAAAUUGACGGGGGCCCGCACAAGCGGAGGAGCAUGUGGCUUAAUUCGAUGCAACGCGAAGAACCUCACCAGGGCUUGACAUGGCGACCCUUCGGGGGUGGUAGCGAAAGUUACCUUUACGAUCACAGGUGCUGCAUGGCUGUCGUCAGUUCGUGCCGUGAGGUGUUGGGUUAAGUCCCGCAACGAACGCAACCCUUGUGGUUAGUUGCCACCGUCGGUGAUGAGCCGGCGAGCACUCUAGCCAGACUGCCCGUGCAAGCGGGAGGAAGGUGGGGAUGACGUCAAGUCAGUAUGGCCCUUACGCCCUGGGCUGCACACGUGCUACAAUGGUCGGUACAGAAGGAUGCAAUACCGCGAGGUGGAGCAAAUCCUCAAAGCCGACCCCAGUUCGGAUUGGAGUCUGCAACUCGACUCCAUGAAGUUGGAUUCGCUAGUAAUGGCGCAUCAGCUACGGCGCCGUGAAUGCGUUCCCGGGCCUUGUACACACCGCCCGUCACAUCAUGAAAGCCGUCUGCACCCGAAGUCACUGAGCUAACCUUUUAUUAGGAGGCAGGUGCCGAAGGUGUGGGUGGUGAUUGGGAUGAAGUCGUAACAAGGUA